UGACUGUAGCUAGGGCAGGCUCUGU
Molecule: non-coding RNA, 25 nt
Filed under: Rattus norvegicus (Norway rat)
Lineage: Eukaryota; Metazoa; Chordata; Mammalia; Rodentia; Muridae
Source: RNAcentral